Molecule: long non-coding RNA, 348 nt
Organism: Malaclemys terrapin pileata
Lineage: Eukaryota; Metazoa; Chordata; Testudines; Emydidae
Exons: 4
Source: RefSeq, a predicted model, not a curated record
UUUCAUUUGCUUCCUAGUUAAAUGCAGCUCGGAGCCGCCGGCCGGCCCGCGACACAGUCCACGCCUGAGCAGAGGACAGAGGAACCAGGAAGGUAGAGGUUGACAAUCAGCCCUUUCGAGGCCAUUGGAAGAGCAGGUGGAAAGGAGCCAGGCCAAGGCGCUGACUCACGAACCCGCUUCCCCUCCAGAUCUGGCCGGCCGGGGAGCCAGGACAGUGCCGCCAGUGGGAUCCCGGAGCCACCGGCCUCUGAACCGCACGGUGUGGAACAGAGCCGGGACCUUGGGACUGGCCCAGUCCCCGUCGCAGCUUCCUGACGCAGGGGGUGGUGCCGCGCUCCCCACAUGGCA